AUUGAACGCUGGCGGCAUGCCUUACACAUGCAAGUCGAACGGCAGCACGGGAGCAAUCCUGGUGUCGAGUGGCGAACGGGUGAGUAAAGUAUCGGAACGUGCCAGUCGUGGGGGGUAACGUAGCGAAAGUUACGCCAAUACCUCAUACGAUCUACGGAUGAAAGCGGGGGCUCGCAACCCCUCGCGCGAUUGGAGCCGCCGAUAUCAGAUUAGGUAGUUGGUGGGGUAAAGGCCCACCAAGCCAACGAUCUGUAGCUGGUCUGAGAGGACGACCAGCCACACUGGAACUGAGACACGGUCCAGACUCCUACGGGAGGCAGCAGUGGGGAAUUUUGGAAAAUGGGCGAAAGCCUGAUCCAGCCAUUCCGCGUGCAGGAUGAAGGCCCUCGGGUUGUAAACUGCUUUUGUACAGAACGGAAAGGUUUCUACUAAUACUAGGAGCUCAUGACGGUACUGUAAGAAUAAGCACCGGCUAACUACGUGCCAGCCGCCGCAGUAA
This 499-nucleotide ribosomal RNA is filed under the name uncultured bacterium. RNAcentral describes it as "partial 16S ribosomal RNA". It matches the Rfam family "Bacterial small subunit ribosomal RNA", at positions 30 to 523 of the family's 1533-position model. The record is from RNAcentral.